This is a long non-coding RNA of Gallus gallus (chicken), 323 nucleotides long. RefSeq lists it as uncharacterized. The transcript is spliced from 3 exons. The record is from RefSeq and is a predicted model, not a curated record. NCBI's taxonomy places the organism in Eukaryota, Metazoa, Chordata, Aves, Galliformes, Phasianidae.
GUUGGAAGGAACUGUUCUAGUCCAACUCUCCCCAUCCAACACAAGGAUGCUGUGCCAUGGAGUCCAUGCUUUCUUGUGAAGAUACACAUUUCAGUGGAAGAGGCUGUUUACUCCACCUAGAAGCAGAAAUCUAGCAGGAACUCCACCUAACAUGCCAUCACCCAAAGGGCAUGGUUCAUCUUCAGAGAAUUAGGAAAUCUCCUGCAGGAGAUGUACUCCAGCCCUUAGAUCAUCUAUCUCUGUGGCCUUCCUCUGGACUCAUUUUAACAGCUCUGCAUCCUUCCUGUAUUGGGGGCCCCAAACAUGGACACAGCAUUCCAGGU